Molecule: non-coding RNA, 1443 nt
Organism: Cricetulus griseus (Chinese hamster)
Lineage: Eukaryota; Metazoa; Chordata; Mammalia; Rodentia; Cricetidae
Source: RefSeq, a predicted model, not a curated record
CCCGUCUUGAAAAACCAAAAAAAAAAAAAAAAAAAGAAAGAAUGAAUGAAUAUUCAUUUGGAGAAAUAGCUCAGCAGCUAAAAGCACUUGCUGCUCUUGCAGGAGUCCAGGGUUAAGUUCUCAGAACCCAUAUAGCAUCUCACUACCAUCUGUAACUUGUUUCUGGGAAUCUGAUGUCCUCUUCUGGAUCCGAAGAGCAAACACUGAAUGCAUUUGAUGCAUGGCAUACAUGCAGGCAAACAUUCAUACACACAGAAUAAAUCAUUUUUUAGAAGGAACACAAGAACAAACAUAGAAUCUGCAUGGUGCGUGUGUGAUCACACCACAGGCCUGAAGCAAAGUGCAGAUUUGAGUCCCACAGGGCUCUCCAGUUAGCAUCCCCCUCAAGACCUAGUUGCGGUAAUGCUAACUCAAGCCUUUGCCCUCUGUCUUCAAUGAAUAUCUGUUUCUUUUAUUAUUUUGUCCUCAAACACAGUUGACUUUUAAGUCACUCCCUGCCUCUGUAAAAUUUUCCACAUUACUGCUGUGUAGAUAUCUAGAGGAUGCCUUAGGUAGAAGUGAGAACACCUAGACUAGGGGCAGGAGGCAGGUGUGCUUUGCCUUGUAGAUGACUCCUCAGUUUAGGGUCUGAAGUGAAGAGAGGCUAUUGCCUAGGACCCCAUCAUUAACCCUUAUGGUGAGUUAUUAGAGUCUUUCAGGGGGUGAAAGCCCAAGUUCCACUCAGAACCACUGCUUUUGGAGAAGCUGGUGUCGUAUUGUCCUUCAAAACCCCCUUGGUGGCUUUAGUGUACAACUAGGGCUGAAAUCGAGAAUAUAAGAUGAUCAUCAGCAUUAGAGCCAGAUAAGUUCAGGUCCCAGACCAGCACUGUACGUCGGAGGGGCAGAUGGUUUCUGUUAUGUCGGAGUUGCGGAUAGGUGGGAGAGCAUGUGAGAAAGAUGACAAUCCGCAUUAGGUAAGCAUGUGGAGGUCAGAGGUCAGCAGACUUCCUGUGGUGUCCUUCAUCAAGCAUCAUCCACCAUGUUUUGAUUUGUUUGCUUUGUAUUUUGACACAGGGUCUCUCACUAUGCAGUCUAUGACUGGCCAGCACUCCGGAGGUCUGCCUGUCUCUGCUAGUGCAUGCACUACACUUUCCUUAUUUAAUGGGUUGUGAGCCUCAAGCUCAGGUCCUCUGACCCAUCCCUUUCAGUACAGCCUCAGAGGCGUCCCACGUUCACUUAACGCAAACAGCUGGUGUUUAUCAUAGCGUUCUUCUCUGCCCUCCUUUCAUGACUAUAUUUACAUAAUCCCUAUCUACACCCCUGCCCCAGAGUAUCUAAGGAGACAUUGCUAACCUCUGUCCACAAAACUUCUGAGGAAACCCUUGGUAGCAAGGAAAAAGAUUCAUGAGGUUUCAAACUCUUAAGUUAAAACUUAAAAUAAAGUGGGUACCAUGGGAGUUGUAA